Molecule: long non-coding RNA, 381 nt
Organism: Gossypium raimondii (Peruvian cotton)
Lineage: Eukaryota; Viridiplantae; Streptophyta; Magnoliopsida; Malvales; Malvaceae
Exons: 2
Source: RefSeq, a predicted model, not a curated record
AAAAAACAUUUCCUGCCAUGUUUUUAAAAAAAAACUUAUGAACCCUAGCCUCCUCUGCUAGGGUUCCCAUAUUCAGCCCCCCACCGCCGCCGUUCGCGUAUUUUUCCCAACCGCACGCCACCGCCGAUUGAAAGGUUUGGUGGCGUAGAAAGCGUAUGCACGUGGAGGCGCAAAUCGCGCAGAGGGAGGCUUCUGGCCCCGAGUCGUGCGGUGGUUGGGGUUGCGCUGAAGGUUCUAGGGUUUUUUAGAGUUGGGCUGGUUUGGUUAUUGUUUGGGUAAUUAGGCUUGAGUUUUAAUUUUGUUGGGCCUAUAUUGGUUUAGGCCCGGGCAAUUUGGGCUUGUACAUAUAUCAUAAAUCAAACAUUAAAUUUUCUAAUCAAA